This 253-nucleotide long non-coding RNA is filed under the name Anser brachyrhynchus (Pink-footed goose). RNAcentral describes it as "lncRNA (ENSABRG00000018408.1)". Lineage: Eukaryota; Metazoa; Chordata; Aves; Anseriformes; Anatidae. The record is from RNAcentral.
AAUUAGCAGGGUGAUGAUGAAAGAGGGGGGAUUAAUGACUUCCCAGCCCAAGUUCCUGAGUUACAGGGUCCUUCUUCCCCAAUCUGCUCAGAAACUGGACUCUCAUGGCAGGCAUUCACAUCCCACUGUUCUCAAUGCCUCAGGAAAAAGAGGAGCUGCUUUAUCCCUUCUGAGGGCUGACUCUUUGCAUAGGCUUUGUCUGCUUUCUGGCACCGGGCAGGCUCCGUUUCACACAAGUGGAUUUGUAAUUUAG